UGCGAUGAGUCGAGUAACCAUUUUAAAAUGGUGAAAGCACAGCUGACGCGGCGCAAGCCACCCGCCGGAUUUGCGGGGUCAGUGGGCACAGGUUGUGGAGCC
RNAcentral lists this non-coding RNA (102 nucleotides) under Lacticaseibacillus nasuensis JCM 17158. RNAcentral describes it as "Lactobacillus nasuensis JCM 17158 Enterococcus sRNA 68 (Lacto-3 RNA)". It matches the Rfam family "Enterococcus sRNA 68 (Lacto-3 RNA)". From Rfam's summary of the family: Name 'Ref' stands for RNA in E. faecalis. The record is from Rfam by way of RNAcentral. Lineage: Bacteria; Bacillati; Bacillota; Bacilli; Lactobacillales; Lactobacillaceae.